GACGAACGCUGGCGGCGUGCCUAAUACAUGCAAGUAGAACGCUGAAGAGAGGAGCUUGCUCUUCUUGGAUGAGUUGCGAACGGGUGAGUAACGCGUAGGUAACCUGCCUUGUAGCGGGGGAUAACUAUUGGAAACGAUAGCUAUACCGCAUAACAAUGGAUGACACAUGUCAUUUAUUUGAAAGGGGCAAUUGCUCCACUACAAGAUGGACCUGCGUUGUAUUAGCUAGUAGGUGAGGUAAUGGCUCACCUAGGCGACGAUACAUAGCCGACCUGAGAGGGUGAUCGGCCACACUGGGACUGAGACACGGCCCAGACUCCUACGGGAGGCAGCAGUAGGGAAUCUUCGGCAAUGGGGGCAACCCUGACCGAGCAACGCCGCGGGAGUGAAGAAGGUUUUCGGAUCGUAAAGCUCUGUUGUAAGUCAAGAACGGGUGUGAGAGUGGAAAGUUCACACUGUGACGGUAGCUUACCAGAAAGGGACGGCUAACUACGUG
RNAcentral lists this ribosomal RNA (496 nucleotides) under uncultured bacterium. RNAcentral's name for it is "partial 16S ribosomal RNA". It matches the Rfam family "Bacterial small subunit ribosomal RNA", at positions 28 to 507 of the family's 1533-position model. The record is from RNAcentral.